RNAcentral lists this ribosomal RNA (274 nucleotides) under uncultured bacterium. RNAcentral's name for it is "partial 16S ribosomal RNA". It matches the Rfam family "Bacterial small subunit ribosomal RNA", at positions 85 to 354 of the family's 1533-position model. The record is from RNAcentral.
CCGCCGGCGACCGGCGCACGGGUGAGUAACACGUAUGCAACCUGGCCGUGACAGAUGGAUAACCGGGAGAAAUCCCGCCUAAUACAACAUAAUGCCGGGAGGGGACAUCCCCUGCCGGCCAAAGGGGCGACCCCGGUCACGGAUGGGGGCAUGCGGCGCAUUAGGUAGUUGGUGGGGCAACGGCCCACCAAGCCGACGAUGCGUAGGGGUUCUGAGAGGAAGGUCCCCCACAUUGGAACUGAGACACGGUCCAAACUCCUACGGGAGGCAGCAG